Molecule: non-coding RNA, 47 nt
Organism: Mesotoga prima
Lineage: Bacteria; Thermotogati; Thermotogota; Thermotogae; Kosmotogales; Kosmotogaceae
Source: Rfam
GAGGGAGGGCCCCUCGAAGCCGCCAUGCAGGUGGAGGCUUCAAACCA